GGAAGUUUAGCUCAGUUGGUUUAGAGCGUCUGCCUUACAAGCAGAAGGUCGAUGGUUCGAAUCCACCAACUUCCA
This 75-nucleotide transfer RNA is filed under the name Holdemanella biformis. RNAcentral's name for it is "tRNA-Val". It matches the Rfam family "tRNA". Rfam says of the family: Transfer RNA (tRNA) molecules are approximately 80 nucleotides in length. Their secondary structure includes four short double-helical elements and three loops (D, anti-codon, and T loops). Lineage: Bacteria; Bacillati; Bacillota; Erysipelotrichia; Erysipelotrichales; Erysipelotrichaceae. The record is from RNAcentral. RNAcentral also lists the same sequence under 1 other name.